AACGAACGCUGGCGGCAGGCCUAACACAUGCAAGUCGAACGCUGUAGCAAUACAGAGUGGCAGACGGGUGAGUAACACGUGGGAAUCUUCCUAUCGGUACGGAAUAGCUCAGGGAAACUUGGGGUAAUACCGCAUACGCCCUUCGGGGGAAAGAUUUAUCGCCGAUAGAUGAGCCCGCGUCUGAUUAGCUAGUUGGUGAGGUAAUGGCUCACCAAGGCGACGAUCAGUAGCUGGUCUGAGAGGAUGACCAGCCACACUGGGACUGAGACACGGCCCAGACUCCUACGGGAGGCAGCAGUGGGGAAUAUUGGACAAUGGGCGCAAGCCUGAUCCAGCCAUGCCGCGUGAGUGACGAAGGUCUUCGGAUUGUAAAGCUCUUUUGGCGGGGACGAUAAUGACGGUACCCGCAGAAUAAGCCCCGGCUAACUUCGUGCCAGCCGCCGCAGUAA
RNAcentral lists this ribosomal RNA (449 nucleotides) under uncultured bacterium. RNAcentral's name for it is "partial 16S ribosomal RNA". It matches the Rfam family "Bacterial small subunit ribosomal RNA", at positions 29 to 523 of the family's 1533-position model. The record is from RNAcentral.